Molecule: long non-coding RNA, 3561 nt
Organism: Callithrix jacchus (white-tufted-ear marmoset)
Lineage: Eukaryota; Metazoa; Chordata; Mammalia; Primates; Cebidae
Source: Ensembl
AUGAGGAAAGCAGAAAGAAAUCUCCGCGGGAGAGACACCGGUGUGCCGCCGCCGCCGCCGCCGCCGCUUCUCUCGCCGCCCCGCCUGAGGAGAAGCGCAGCCGGGAACGCUGCUCUCGCCGUCGCCGCUAACGCUGCCGCCGCCGCCGCCGCGAAAGCCCCGAGCUGGAGGGUGCACGGCGUGUCCCCGGGCGGCUGCAGCGGGAGCCCGGGCACUGCCCCAUCCUCCGCCCGCCCGCCAGCCGCGCGCAGCACCCGCUCCUCCCCCUCCGCAGCCGGCCCACCGCCGCCGCCCGCCUCAGCCCAGCCCAGCGCCCGCCAGCUCGCUCGUGCAUUCGUUCGCUCGUGUGCGCGCGCUCCCGCGCACCCGCCCUCCCCGCGCCUCACUCGGCGCGCGCUCCCGCCCCCGCGGCCCCGGCCGGCGGGAUCACGUGGACGGCUGGGCUCCCUCCUCCCCCGCCCCCUCCCCAGUUGUAGAGUGUGUAGAAAGCAAAAGGCUGGGGGCUGGCCGCGCUCGCGAGCCCAGGGCAUGCGCGCUGGGGCGGCCGGGCCUGCGCACUGGGGGCGGUGGGGAGCCUCGAGGUGGGCGGGGGCGUGGAGGGGGCUGUCCGUGGAGGGGGCCGCCCGAGUGGGGUCGGCCGCGGCCGGGCACAGUUGGCGCGCGAGGGCGUGGAAGCCGCCGGAGGAUCCGGGCACUGGAAUUGAUCUAUACGGAUCAGAAAGACACCGACGGCCCGCUCUCAGCAGCCUCUAGGAUACUCUUCUCUUUCUGUCCCGGCACUUAAACAACGCGGCACCGUCACUCCUGCCUCCCUAGUAGCCCAAGCUCGUGGAACAAGAAAAGGAAGAUAAACUGACAUGUAUUAAUUAUUCGCAAUGGGCCAGGCACUGUGCUAGAACGUAUGAUUUCACCUCUUUAAAAUACAAAUCUGCACAUUUUAUUAAUAUUACUGGAAGGGGAAUGAUAGAGAAAACAUUGAGGACGUGUUUUCUCUCACAAUCUGACACAUCUGAUUGACUGAUUGAUUGAUUGUUUUUCAUUUAACAAUUAUUAGGCCUUACCAGGCUUAGGCACAGUUGUAGGUGCUCGGAAUACAGCGACGUACAAAACAGAAAAGAUACUGCCUGCUUCUUAGAUCUUACGUUCUAGCAGGCAAGCCUCACUUGUCUUAUAAUUCCUAAUAACAAUUUAAUAGUUUGUCAUUCUCUUGUUUUAGGUCACACUCCUUCACCUUCCCCAUUUCUGAAUCCCAGGUCUGGAUCUUUAUGAAAUCUGAUGGGGAGAUGGGAGGUGGGGGCGAGGACGGUAGCAAAAGGAACCAUCCACCCGACUGUGACUAAGAUAAGGUUUGUGCCUGUCCAGGAAACAAACCAUUUGACCUUAGGCAAGACUUUUAAAUGACUAUUUUUUUCAUCUGUAAAUCAAAGAGCUUCAAUUAAAUGUUCAAAAUGUUCCUUUUCAGGUCUACCCAUGGCCUUCUCAACAGAUGACUGGAAGUUGAUUUCGUACUUUAUUUCUUAAGAAUAGUGACUAACCUACAGGAUCUGAUUCAAUUUAUUAGGAACACAGUGCCACCUUCCAAAAUUACUUACCUAAGAGGACUGAGCCUGCUGUCUCUGGAGCAGUUAGCUGAAAUAGUGCCUCAGAACGGAGCGUACCUGCGUUAACUUCUAGAGUGCUGUUUUCCGGCAGCUGCUGAAAUCCACGCUGAGGUUAUCAAGCUCAUCCUACAAAAUAAAACAAGUUCUUUGCAAUUUAAAGCAAAAAUCUGGGCUCAUUUUUAGGGUUUGUGGGGGAUGUGAAAGUUGUCUUAGAUAAGAUUCCAGGAAAGCUAGGAAUUAAUAGUGUAAUUACAGUCACUUUUCAACAACUUUGGGGAUUCGGUUGAGGGAGGUGUGAAAUUGGGAAAUUUAAUAAAAGGUCUUAUAUUAGUGACUUUCUAGAGUAGCCUUUGGCAGUCCUGUCUUUAAAGAGUAAUAACUGGUAGGGAAAAAAAUGAAUGGUAAUACACUGCAUCCAAGAACCUUGCCUUUAGCGAGCAUAAUUUGCAAACGCAUUUUGGGAUAAUGUUCAGGGUCCAAGUGUAAUCCUCCCUGGAAUUAGCAAUGCCUUUUGGGUCAGAGUUUCAUAGAUUUCUUCCAUCAUACAAUUAAAAUUGUUUUGGGAUUAUAUUGCCCAUAUUUGUUUCUAAUUCUCCAUUUUGCCUGUUUUAAUUGCCAGUGAUUAAUAACUGCCAUAUAAUAAGCUAAGCAUUUAUUAUGUUUCAGGCACAGUUCUAACUGCAUUAAAAUAAUAUCCCAUUUAAUUCUCGUAAAGUUUGAGAAUGGUUUUAUUAUACCUAUUUUACAGUUGAGUAAACCGAGGCUUAAAGUUAAGCACAUUGUCCAAGGUGCCUCCACUGCUUAGUCAUAAGCUAAAUUUGAUCUGAAUGACUCCAAAACCUUUAUCUUAAUGCUUAUGCUGAAAUGCCAGUCUUAAACUGAUUCCUCAAGAAAUCAAAUGCUAUGUGUAUUGUACAACCACUUUGGAAAGCUGUUGGCAAUAUCUCUUAAACAUAUGAAAACCCUAUGGCCCAGCACUUCCAUGCUUAGGAAUAUACCAAUGUCAAAUGUAUACCAAAAGACUAUUAAAGCACUCAGAGCAACCCUGUUCCUAAUAACCCCCAAACGGGAAACAACCCAAAUGGUCAUAAACAGUAAAAGAGAUAAAUAAUUGGUGGUACGUUCAUACUACAGAAUACACUCUACAACACUAAGGAUGAACAGUCUGCUUCCAAAUGCAGUAAAACACGUGAACCUCACAAAAGCGACCAGCCUCUCUGGCUGGUGAAAGGGAGACGCACAAUUGCAGGAGCCCAUUUAUAUAAAGUACAGAAACAGACAAAAGUCACUGAUGCUCUUCAAAGUCAGGAUAGUGGUUCCCUUGAGAGAGAGCUGAUGUCUAGGAGAGAACACCAAUACGGCUUCUGGGGAGAUGAUCAUGUUGUUUCUUGAGCUGGGUACUUGUGUGUUCACUUUGUGAAAAUUCACUGAGCUGCACUAUUGAUAUAUGCAUCUCUGUGUAUGUAAAUCAUGCUUCAAUGAAAAGCUUUAAAAUGCUGUGUAUGUAUGAAUGCAUUAGGGUAUUGCUUGUGUAUAUAUGAGUACCUAUGUAAUACUUUGUUUUUUUAUAUUAAUGACACUACUCAAUGCUUAUCAAUAGUAAAAUAAAUAAAUAAGCUGUGGUUUAUUUGGGACAUAAAUGAAGCUGGAAGCCAUCAUUCUCAGCAAACUAACACAUGAAUAAAAAACCAGACACCGCAUGUUCUCACUCAUAAGUGGGAGUUUAACAAUAAGACCACAUGGACACAGGGAGGGGAACAUCACACACCGGAGCCUGUCAAGGUGCCGGGGGGGAAGGCGAGAGAGAGCAUUAGGACAAAUGCCUAAUGCAUGCAGGGCUUAAAACCUAGAUGACAGGUUGAUAGGUGCAGCAAACCACCAUGGCACAUGUAUACCUAUGUAACAAACCUGCACAUUCUACACAUGUAUACUAGAACUUAAAAUAAAAUUUAAAAAAAAA